CCUACGGGGGGCAGCAGUGAGGAAUAUUGGUCAAUGGGCUUACGCCUGAACCAGCCAAGUCGCGUGAGGGAAGACUGCCCUAUGGGUUGUAAACCUCUUUUAUAUGGGAAUAAAGUGCAGUAUGCAUACUGCUUUGCAUGUACCUUAUGAAUAAGGAUCGGCUAACUCCGUGCCAGCAGCCGCGGUAAUACGGAGGAUCCGAGCGUUAUCCGGAUUUAUUGGGUUUAAAGGGAGCGUAGGUGGGUUGUUAAGUCAGUUGUGAAAGUUUGCGGCUCAACCGUAAAAUUGCAGUUGAUACUGGCAGCCGUGAGUACAGUAGAGGUAGGCGGAAUUCGUGGUGUAGCGGUGAAAUGCUUAGAUAUCACGAAGAACUCCGAUUGCGAAGGCAGCCUGCUGGACUGUAACUGACGCUGAUGCUCGAAAGUGUGGGUAUCAAACAGGAUUAGAUACCCGGGUAGUC
This 460-nucleotide ribosomal RNA is filed under the name uncultured bacterium. RNAcentral describes it as "partial 16S ribosomal RNA". It matches the Rfam family "Bacterial small subunit ribosomal RNA", at positions 338 to 795 of the family's 1533-position model. The record is from RNAcentral.